Molecule: long non-coding RNA, 667 nt
Organism: Capsicum annuum
Lineage: Eukaryota; Viridiplantae; Streptophyta; Magnoliopsida; Solanales; Solanaceae
Exons: 2
Source: RefSeq, a predicted model, not a curated record
AAAAUCAAUUAGAAAAAAUCUAGAGAGACUAGAGAGAGAAAAUGCAUCUUCAACGGUGAAGUCCAAUGGACAUGUCCAAUAUAUCUUCAUCUCCUACGAUAUCAACUUAAUGAAGUAAUGUGAUGUUCCAUCAAAACUGAGCUCGAGUGAAAUUUACCUAGACUCUUAAAAUUAUCACAAACGCCAUGAAUUUGGACUCAAUAAAGACUUCUUCAGCUUAAAAUCAGUUUACCAUAUUAUACCACCUCAAUAAGAUUGAUAUCUUUCCUAAUUUCAGUACUAAAGUUACUCGAAGGAGCUUACCUAACCAACCUUUUGUCUCUGCAAGCUGAGCUCCAAAGAGCUAAUACCACUGCAUAAGAAUUCAGAUCUAGCAGGUACCAGAUGUAAUCCACACACUAGGGUCGGACAGUUCUCAGUAUUCAACCAGCAGGUGAUGAGUUCUCUUAUUUUGGGGACUUUAGUCCAUUGCAGUUCAUAUGUUGUAUUUUGAUUAUCCAUAUGUAUUGGUUAGUAGUAGCUGGAGGCAUGUCCCAACAGCUUAUUAUCAUUAUAGUAGAGGAUUCAAAGAUAGUCAGUCAGAGUUAUUCAUGAAAUUUCAAGUUUUUUUUUCAAUUUUAUCAUGUUGUAAACUUGAUCAGUAAUUCAUUCAUUCAGAUUUUUAUCA